GACGAACGCUGGCGGCGUGCUUAACACAUGCAAGUCGAACGAAGAGCGAUGGAAGCUUGCUUCUAUCAAUCUUAGUGGCGAACGGGUGAGUAACGCGUAAUCAACCUGCCCUUCAGAGGGGGACAACAGUUGGAAACGACUGCUAAUACCGCAUACGAUCUAAUCUCGGCAUCGAGGAUAGAUGAAAGGUGGCCUCUACAUGUAAGCUAUCACUGAAGGAGGGGAUUGCGUCUGAUUAGCUAGUUGGAGGGGUAACGGCCCACCAAGGUGAUGAUCAGUAGCCGGUCUGAGAGGAUGAACGGCCACAUUGGGACUGAGACACGGCCCAGACUCCUACGGGAGGCAGCAGUGGGGAAUCUUCCGCAAUGGACGAAAGUCUGACGGAGCAACGCCGCGUGAGUGAUGACGGCCUUCGGGUUGUAAAGCUCUGUUAAUCGGAACGAAAGGCCUUCUUGCGAAUAGUGAGAAGGAUUGACGGUACCGGAAUAGAAAGCCACGGCUAACUACGUG
This 510-nucleotide ribosomal RNA is filed under the name uncultured bacterium. Its description in RNAcentral is "partial 16S ribosomal RNA". It matches the Rfam family "Bacterial small subunit ribosomal RNA", at positions 28 to 507 of the family's 1533-position model. The record is from RNAcentral.